Non-coding RNA from Mycena metata, 84 nucleotides. The record is from the annotation of a GenBank genome assembly. Lineage: Eukaryota; Fungi; Basidiomycota; Agaricomycetes; Agaricales; Mycenaceae.
UCCGAUAUGGUGUAACGGUAACAUACGCGCCUCUCAUUGUUUGAGUCAACGCGCGUGCCCGGGGUUCGAUUCCCCGUGUCGGAA